AUCGACUUCCGGUCGAUUGAAUCAUUACGACUUCGUCGGUGCGCUACGUCUCAAUUAUUUCCAAACUUUUCCAGAUCAUGUUUAUACUCGGCGAAAACGUCGAGUGAAAUAUCUUCUUACCUCCGAUGUUGGUAACAUCGAUUUUUCAUCCCCUGAAACUGCUGCAUCUCAGCUCCGCGCGUCAAUCGAGAACUUAAACCCCCGGCUGCAAAAUUAACGUCUAGUAAAACGCGGCAGCGCAUAAAUGCAACGAAUCGAUAAUUAUUACUCCACGGGCAGCGUAUUUCGGUGCGAAGCACGUGUGCGGGUGCGAUGGUGGGUGUAACGUGUAACCGUGUGCGCCAUGAUAAUCCUGAGAAGAUUAACGAGGUGGACUCCUCUAGCUGCCUCAGCUCGCCCGCUGCUUCCAAGACGUAUAAGAGGUUAGCGGCGAGGGGUUGGGGGCUGAGAGGAGGAGAGGAAGAGAGGAAGAGAGUGUGUGGCGGCGUCCCGACGGUGUGCGGUGGCUGCGGUGGGCGCCCCUUGCCCGUUCCCUACAUUAACGCAAUUAUGAAUUUGUCGCUUUGGGAUCUGACAAUACAAGAUGUUGCGCUCCUCUUCCGCCGCCACCGGCUGCCUGUGCUCCUUGCGCGCAUAUUAAUGUCCCUCGUACACGAUGACUGCCUGCCUACCCUUGGUUCCUGGUUUGUAUACUUGGAAGUGAGAGAAAAAUUCCCGGUGGGAAUUGGGGCGAUCCCGUUUCACCACCGGGUGUAGUUUAAUGCCGAGGUGAUGCAGGGAAACAGGUAUUACAGAGUGUAUGCGUAUGACCGUCGAUGGCGAUAGAGAGGUCAGGACUAGGCCGAGGAAACGACGCCCGUAGCGUGGAAGGUGAAAUCCGAGGACUAGCCUAAAUACACCGGACGAUGGACCGCGGUCCUGGUAACACCGGGGCGAGUGGUCCGUGGGUGGUGAAGGGGUGAGGGCGAGUGCCUAGUCAGCCCUUAAUAUCAUAAGAGCUGCCGGACCCGCGCAAACAACCCCAGCAGACCUAACAUAACCUCUGGUUCACUUUGCUCGCAUCUAACGGCUGAUGAAUUUAGAUGGUAAACGUUUUAUUCGUAAGUGGAAAUAUUCCGGUCUUCCAAACCUACUAUCCUCAGCUUCGACUGGCAAGUCCUGCGAACCAAAGGAGGAGACAUCGUGCCGUCGAGGGGAAGGAGUCCCGUUCGAGGAACGAUCCACAAGUAGGCCUGGAAAUAUGCUCACCACGUUUUAUCCUUUCGGCAAAAAGAAGUCGACGGUUAAGGGAAAAGAAGAAACCACCCUCGUGGCUCUGCUCAACGGUGCCAAAAACUACCCCCGAAUCUCGCUCAAAGUACGUCUGACAUAAGAGAUUUUUCGCCCCUCGAUAUCUGGCCGGUCUCGCCAAUGCAGCGGACAAUAAGAAUCGAUAUCCUAAUUAGAAGGGGCUAUUCCGCGCGGUCGAGUCUGUAUCAAGGCCGGGUGUUGGCGAGGCGAAAAUCCGGACGGGGAUGCGGGCCGGAAGCAGGAGUCUGCGAUGCCGACCGGACCCGACCGUCCCACCGGAAACGCUAUUCACACGGCGACUCCCUACGCCGACGUUUUCCCGGGCUUCCCUUCUCGCUCCCUAUUUCACCGCCUACACGACCGGCCAUACUCAGAAUCCCCGCGUACGGCUUGCUAGCCUCCCUCGCGACUGCCACCGAUACGCAUCCCUGAAUAAACAAAGCUCGGCGAAAAAAAAAAAGUUGAGCAAAGUCGCUAAAAUAAUCAUACGCGUGGUUACCGCCGGCUAACGUCCACAGAGUAACGAACGUCCAAGUUAAUUACCACGCGUGGAAAUUCGCCGCGUUCUCCAACCCCCACCUCUUCCCAAAACGCUGAAGAUUUCUCUCGCUUUUUAUAUUUCUCUCCAAGUCGGUGCUCCGCGAUCUCGGUAUAAAAAAAUAACAUUGAAAAACAACGGUGAAAUGUAAUCAAACAAAGCAAAUAAUUACAAGUGUACCGUGCAAAGAAACCUUGACCAAAAGUUCGUUGCAGGGGAUGGUAAAGCUUCCAGAUUUCUGAUCGUACUGUACGGUCACCCUGUGUAGGUGUACAAUAGUGUACAUGCUUGAGUGAUCCGGUCUAUUCCCAUGUUUUAUAUCAAGCUGGAGUAAUUGCAGUGGUUUAUUUCAUUGCGAGCGAUAGGAACGCGGGGAAGCUGCAGUAGGAGUUGGUUGCGGGAUAAACCGAGAGAUGGAAUAGAGUUUAUUAGUCAAUAUAGAACGGUUAACGUCACAUCCCAUCAGCGGAUAGAGUGCCAUGAAUGCUGUGGAAAAAAUGUAUAUAAUAAUAAGAAGAGAAUAGAAGAGCAAGAGAGCUUCGUGCAGGCUCUGCACUCUAUGAGAUUAGUCAAGUCCAAAUCCCUGUUCUUUCCAAUUUACCCGGCAUUCGCCCCGGGCAAGGUUAUUUGUUCACGCCAAUAUUAAUUAAGAUAUUGGUCACCGUGGGCCUCCGCCUAAUGCUCCAACCUUCGGGAACAACGCUUCCGGGAUUAAACUCUCUCUCGUGCCUCUUCACCCAUUCCGCUGCACGCAGUGUGAGAAGAGGAUUUUUCCGCCUUGAUACCCUUUCUGGUACCCAAGGUGUUCAGCAGACCGAUGCGCGUUGUCGUGAAAUGAACGAAUUACCUCUUUCGCUGGAAUAACUCGGCGAGUAGAGUUUCGUGUUAGCGUUCAUUCCAUUUUAAUCGUUCAAGUCUUUAUAACUCUUCAGAAAAAGUAACUCAGCAGCAGAAUUUGAGACCGUCUUUUAUAAAAGUCAAGAGACUCUGAUGAUCGAAUUCGGACCAACGAAGAACCUGGAAACUUGGUUCAUCGUUGUCAUUAGCUGAUGAUGAAGAAGCGUAGGAAAUGAGUUUUAGAAAGCUUGAUCCAAGUAAUGCAGCUGACUACAUCCUUCGCAGUAUGAAAAACAUUUCUAAAAAAUAUCAAACCAUGACGAAACGUUGCUAUUCGCCUCCAUUUGAUAGAGUUAACUCAUACCGUUCACGGUUUGUCCAUAACGAAAUCGGAAUACUUGGCUUGUUAUCAGCAUUACGCAUAUAUAUUAUAGAUGGCUCGAAGAUGUCAAUGAUGAAACCGACGCGACGGCGCCAGUGACGAGUCAUUAGCAAAGUUCAAUUGGGGUUGCAUUGAACCCAAUUUCUCGACAGUAUUUGCUCGCGCUCUGGGUGCCGGAGGUUUGACCCCUCGUUAAUCACCAAAGGCCAACUCAGAGACCUACCAGACGACGCGGACAAGCUGUGUAGUUGACCGCAGAGACUGACCGCUUUCUGAGGCUUCUACUGAGAUCGAUGCUAGCAGCUCUAGCCAAAAAGGAGCCGCCAUAAGAUCCUCCUGGUACCGAAAAAUUCACCACCGUCGGAACCAAUUUCCCAACGAAGAUCUGGAGACAGCUUCAAAGCUGAUGUAUACUCAGAAUGUACCUCCAAGGCAAAAGACGACGCGGCUAGAGAUGGAGUAAGGUGAUCAGUGACUUCGGGCAAAAAUCAUUGUUGUCAUCACCAAGUGUAAUGUGUGCCUGCAAAUUCUUCAGUUUUGAUUCGCGGUAAGCAAAUAUUCACCGGUAUCCAGCUGGCCAGUCGAGAAUCAGGAAUUACUUUCGCCUUGCCCAGAAGCGCCGACAGACCCUUUUUCAUUCUCUGACUUCCUCCAACGCUGGAGGUGGUGGACCGCAAAACCAACAAACGAUAUGCGCUGCCCGAGAUAUGCUUAUGAUGUCGACGUCCCGAGUCUGGCUACGCCGACACCCCUUAUUCGGCUACUUUUGGGUGGCCACAACAAUUACCAAUUCAGAAAGAACACCAUAUCGAGUGAAAAGUGAACAUGAAGGGCUGCUGCCGUUGGAACCGAAUCGGAUGACGAAUAAUAAAACGCAUUAAAAGUACAAGGCUGAAGGAAUUGAGGCUAGAUAAUGAGGGUAGGCAUACAGACCAAUAUUGAAGAUAAGUAAACCAAUUUAUUUCAAAAAAUACGUCAUCAGAUGUUCAAAAGCAUCAGCAGGCCGUAUGAUAAAUAACUUUUGAAGUAAGAGGUAAGGCAGGUUGUGAAGGGAGAACGGGAAAGCGGUAGGAGGGGUUAGAAAAUCACCCGGUAUCUCUUCCGCCACGGGGGCCAACAGAGGUGACGUAAUUACUGAGAUUAAUGUGGCCUUGAGCUUUUGGGAACUGAAGCUCUCCCGGCUUUUAUCUCUGGCGGUAUCAUCCGGCGCUCAGCUUGGUUUCUCCGCUGCUCCAGGGUUCGUUGGAAAGUAAUUCUGAAAAGAGAGAAGGACGAGGAGGAUAGAAACGGUUUAAAACAUCACUUGCUCGCCGAGAUUCAACCAUCGUACUCAUCAGGGCUUACAACGAGAAAAAAAAAUUAGUAGCCAGCUUUCCCGGAUAGCGUCGACCUGAGUUUCCUGUCGACACCUAGCUGCAGCCCUCGACAGUAGAGGAGGAGCCUUGGUGUCUCCGGGCUGGUUUCCUCCUUGCGCUUCGUUGGCCGUUGCCGCACAUUCAGCGCCAGCCUUCCCCAGACCCCUUUCUUUCUCCUCGGCAACGGCGUAACGCCGAGACAAUGAUAUCGCAGGAAGAGCUGUGCCCCACCGCUUUACAACUCCCGACGGGCCUCCGGAACCCGACUGAAAUUAAUAUCAUAAAUAAUGCACUCCCAUUUGACCUUACCUCGAGCCAAGGAGCAACAUGAAAGACAACUCGUAGAUUAUUUGUGGGCACCUCCGCAGGUUUUACGUUAUUAUUUUGUUGCUGGGUGAAAGAGCAGGCAUAAGGGUGGUCCACCAACUAAUCGAAUCAUUUCUUGGGUCUGGCAUGAUUGUUCCAACAGGAAAUUAACAGGAAAGAAUGACGAACGGUACUUGAGUGGAAUUAAGAUUUCUUCAUGGGGGUGGAUGUGCAUUAUCGCGGUAGGUUCUUAUCUUCGUUAUUGCCAGCUCUGACUAGGCAGUCGACAGGGAUUAGAGGGUGGUGCAGGAAAGGUGAGAGAGGGUUGUGAUACUACACGUGGAAAUCUACCUGUAGCUUCGUCUUCCGACGCCACAAAGACAAUGGGGCGAAUUAGCACCGCGUAUGUGCCAUAUCUUCUGUUUCAUCAGCAUUUGAGGGCGUUCAAAAGCACUACGGGGGUGAGUGGCGCCGCGCUACUUCUGCUGCUUUGUACCAUCAAGAUGAUUAUAUUGCCAUUCAGAAGUGAAACGCAACCCGUUUCGUCGCAGACUCCGCGAGGAUAGUCCGCUUCUCUCUAUCUCUCUCUCUUCGCUCGUGCAAUUUCACCCCGUAGAUUCUGCGAAUUUUCAACCCAAUACGAGUGUACGAUCUGCUACAGCACGGAGUGGCAAAGAGGAAAAAAACAGUUUUCCCGAUUAAUCUGACCGCGUUUUUCGACCUUCCUCGUCGCUUUGUCUUCCACUGGGACUUGGGUAUAUCUCGCAUUUAUCUCUUCGGCCGACUCGGUGGUCGCGGUCGGGCGGCACUGGCGCUCAUUAAGUUUUUGGUUGAAUGCCAGGCGAAGCCGCGACGCGGAGAUCUCGGGAUAACCGUGAUCUCAAAGGGUUAGUCGUUGGACGUCGCCCCACGGCAAGCCCAGGCUAAGAGUUACGCUAAGAGGGUCGGGCGUUCGGGCGGGUAGUGAAGGGAAACGAGAGAGAGGGAUAGGGAUCACCCGGGAAAGAAGAACGGGAAGAAGCGACGAGGACGAGAUGCCCGAGUGGCCCACGGGCGGCGGCACUUAAUGGAAUUAAAAUUAGGAACGCAGAGACCGAGACGGAGAUCCAGGAAAGAGAAUAGGUACGGUGAUGAAGAAUUGUGAAAUUUUCAACCGGCUGGAGAGGCAAGCCUCAGUGGAUGGAGGCGAGGUUUAAUGCUAAAUGCGAUGAACGAUAAUUCCUCUCAAUUAUCCUGGAACCUCGAGACAAGAUUUUGAAAACCCUUGUACGCAGAGCGACUGAAAAAAUCCUCAAUGCACUCCGAGUAUUUCCUGCGAUAAACUCAACGAACCAUUCUGUGAAAAGAAUUCUUUCAUUGCAAACAUCAAAACUAGAAGAAGUUAACGAUUUUCAUGCUUUGGAUCUUCGUUGGUGUAUUUCAAACGAUGCUAUACGACUGGGGGUGUGAAGUUGAGCAGAAUUUUCGGAAGCUCGCCUGAUGGACAUUCCGUGAUGAAAGAGUCGUCAUGACGCAGCUACGAACUUAUUCGACCUGAUUUUUGUGAAAUUUGAUGAUCAUUAGAGAUUCAUAAGAAAAUCCCGUUUGUAUUGAAACGAAACGCAUUUGUUGACUAGAUACUAAAAACAAUAAAUGUUGGAUCUGUGUUAUGUUCGAUGUGUGCAUAGUUCAUUGCACAUAAUGAUUACAAUGAUAUAUACGGAUAUCUUACAAUUAAAUAAUAUAGUGCAUCUACAUCGUAUUCAUGGAUAGGUUCCGAGUGACUCAGUAUUUUCUUGAUAUCCGAACGAAAAGGGUUUCCUGCAUAUAGAAUCUUUUAUUUAUCUAUAAUAAACGUAUCGUUUGUAUCUACUGUCACUUGUGUCGCCGGUCAAUGGCACACGUGAUUUAUUCGGAAUGGUAACUCGUUCCACUUUCAAGUACAAGAUAUGAAGUUGGCCACUGGAAACCUAUGAUUACUCGUUUCUAUACGUACUUUUGACAAUAUAUCAUGUAAUAAUGUGAACGUAAGAACAAUAAACAAGCACUUAUUUUUGUGAUCUACA
RNAcentral lists this long non-coding RNA (6753 nucleotides) under Neodiprion lecontei (redheaded pine sawfly). RNAcentral describes it as "uncharacterized LOC124294649". Lineage: Eukaryota; Metazoa; Arthropoda; Insecta; Hymenoptera; Diprionidae. The record is from RNAcentral.